UCGGUACUCUCUCCGUUCGGAAAUACUUAUCAUCAAAAUAGAUAAAUUGGAAUGUAUCUAAACAUAUUUUAGUUCUAAAUACAUCAUUUUUUGUUCAUUUUCAUGACAAAUAUUUUCGGACGGAGGAAGUAGCAA
Molecule: non-coding RNA, 135 nt
Organism: Triticum urartu
Lineage: Eukaryota; Viridiplantae; Streptophyta; Magnoliopsida; Poales; Poaceae
Source: Rfam